Molecule: long non-coding RNA, 3809 nt
Organism: Heterocephalus glaber (naked mole-rat)
Lineage: Eukaryota; Metazoa; Chordata; Mammalia; Rodentia; Bathyergidae
Source: RefSeq, a predicted model, not a curated record
GGAGGGCAGGCCUUCUGGGAACAUGACCCCAAAAACCAAAGUUUCCAAGGCGGCCAAUGGGCAUGCCUGCUCCUCCUCCUGUUUUCUUCGAAUUCGUUCUUCGAGGUCAGCCCCACGCCCAAGGAUGAUGCAAACCGCAGCCUCAGGCUUCUUGGGGCAAGGCCCUCUGGGAAGAACUGGGCACAUGAGCAAAAGAAGCAAGAAACAGGGUUCACAGGCCUUCUGACAUGCUGUGUGGCCUGAGCCAAGUCACUUAACCUCUCUGGGCCUCAGAAGCCCCACCUGUUAAAAAAAAAAAGGGAAGAGAAAAGCAUUUCCUAGGCCGCCUCAUAGGGCUGGUGCCACCAUGGACAUAAAAGGUAAAAGCCCUCAGAAGGGAAAAGAUAAAACGAAACUCUAUUCCAAGUACUAGCUGCUGAGGGGAGAUGGGGGAGAUGGGGAAGCUGUGAGCUCAGAGGGGAAGCCUGGGAGGGGAUCUGCUGCGCCAACGGUUAGAGACAAGGUUUCACUUUCUCUGAAAGAUAGCGAUCGUGGGCUGGUCCUCGCUCCUCAAAGCCUAAGGCAUCAGAGCAGCCUUGGAGACAGCACCUCCCUAACAACCUGCUAAUUACUAGGGUAAACUGAGGCAUGGGGACGAGAGGACAAGGAGGUGUGGGGGCCGGCUGAGGCCUGCAGGAGCUGCCUGACAGCCCCAGCACAACUCGAAGAAUUGGAAGAGGAUCCCUGGCCUGUGCCCUCAGGAGUCCCGAGGGAAGGUGGCCCCCAAAAGGCUGGAGAGCCAGGGCAGAGCCUUGGGGCUUCCAGGGGGCCCAAGCUGCUGCAGCUGAGGGCACUGAGCCUGCAGAGCUGACAAGGAACUCAGAUGUGGCCAGAACAGAGCUCCUCCCACCUGCUCUCCACCUCUGCAGACCUGACCCUCCAUUCGUGUAGUCAUUCAACAAACGAGUAAAGGCCCCACUGCAUCCCAGCCACUCCCAGGUGCUAAGGAGCUCACAGGAGGCAAAUCCAGAGCAGCUCCAGGCCCAGGCAGCUGCUCCACACUCCACCCUUCCCCACAUCCAGCGUGGCGCUCACUGCACGAAGCCCAAUACCACACCUUGGCCACCCUCCUGGCCAGUUCUGGAUUCUCAUCCUAAGAAUGUCACUUCCACUAAAUUCCUCAUCUCUGCUCGCCCCCACAAAGCUGUUUUCUGGGGCCCUGGCCAAGUGGGGAUCCUUCUCCAUUUCACAUCCCUGAUCGCGUCUUACAGCAGCCUGGGAGAGAGAUAGCUCAUCUUGCUUUGCUGAGGUGGUGAAGCCCCCGGAAGCGCAGAGGCUGGCUGAGGGCAGAACAGCCAGAUCCAGCCAGAGAGCACCUGCCCCUCUUGGCUACUGCUGCCAGACCAUGAGACUUGGAGACUGUCACAUGCCUUCACCUUGUUCUGUCCCCUCCUAGUCCAAGCCAGGUGUAUUGUCUCCGGGGUUUAAAAGGCCUCGGGCUAGGGAUUUAGCUCAGUGGUUCCGCAGCCUGCCUCCCAAGCACAAGGUCCCGAGUUUUAUCCCCGGUACCAAAAAAAAAAGGGCCUCAAAGGCACAGAGAGGGGAAGUUGCCCCUCUCAGGCUGCACAGCAAUUAAGACAGCGUUCAGACUGAACCUGUCUAAUUAAUUUGAAGGACCAUAUUCUUACCACAGGGCUAAUCAGAGUGCUGUGUGGGACCCCAGGACCAGCAUCAACAAAGGCAAGAAGAGUUUGCACAUUCAUUUGCCGGGGCUGGAAUAACAUUACAGUUGUCCCAGGACAUCCACCAGGGAUGGGUUCCCUGAAAUGUGUCUCUUGCAUAAAACGGUAUAGCAUUUGCAUACACUUGUCCAAUCUGCUGCCUCCAUGCCACUUACCCUCUGUUUUUUAAUGUUAUAAUUAUAAAAUACUUAAAUAGGUGUGAAGCUAGGCAUGGUGGCACAUGCCUGUAAUCCCAGCACUUGGGAGGCUGAGCCAGGAGGAUUGACAUGAGUUCAAGGCUACCCUAGGCUACAUAUUGAGUUCGAGACUGGCCUGAAUUACAUAGCGAGACUGUCUCAAAAACAAAAACAAAAAAAGCGAGGUGUGGUGGUACAUUCCUGUACUCCAGCACGCGAAGCCUGGGGCAGGAGGGUUGCAAGUUCAAGCCCAGUCUGGACAACUUAGUGGCUUAUUGAGAGCCUGUUGCAAGGUAAAAAAUAAAAGGGCUAUGAAUGAAGCUCAGUGAGAAGACCCUGGAUUUGAUCCCCAAUACCACAAAAAAUAAAUACUGUAGUUAGAUAGGAAGUUUUGCUAUUAUUAAUUGUAUUAUAUAUUUUAUAUGUAGCCCCAAGACAAUUCCUCUUCCAUUGUGGUCCAGGUAAGCUGAAAAAUUUGACAGAUUGAUACUAAAUCACUCCUAAAUUGCUUAUAAUGCCUAACACAAUGCCAGUGCUAUAUAAAUGAUUGUUAUGCUGUAUUAUUUAGGGAAUAAUGGCAAGGAAAAGAAAGUGUGUACAGGUCCGGUACGGAUGAAACCAUCGGAGGCCUAACUGCAUUUCCAGUUUGUAGGAGGCUGAACCUGCAAGUACAGAGUCCAUGGAUCCCAAGGGCUGACUGUACCACAGGCUGGGAGGCUUCAGCAACAGAAUUUAUCUUCUCACAGUUCUGGAGGCCCGAAGUCUGAGGUGGAGGUAGAGGUGGCAGUGUGCUUGGCUCCUUGGCUUGCAGAUGGCCUUGGCAUGCUGUGUCUUCACAUGGGCAUCACCGGUCUGUGUGCCUCAAGGAUUGGGCUCCACCCAAAGACCUCAUUUUACCUUAAUCACUCCUUCUUGAAAGCCCUAUCUCCAAAUACAGUUGCAUGUGCAGAUGCUGUGGAUCAGGACUUACACAGACAGGGCUGUGGGGAAGAUGUGACUCAGCCCACAACAGCCUGCAGGAGGCGGCAUGGUUGGAGGGCUCCAGGAAGUGGAGACGUUGUCAGGGGAUGCACCCAGGGGAUGCACAGGAGCACAAGGAGUGGUGGCUGGAAGAGGCCUGGGCACUUGACCAUCAGAGGGGAGAGUGAAGGAAGAUGCGUCAGCGUUUCUGGUGAGAUGGGGAAACCGAGGCCUGAGAAGCAGAGACCUGAGAGAGAUCCAAUGCAGCCUUCCAGAGACAGGAGAUCCACCUCCAAGCCCAGGAUAUUGUGCAGGACCGAUAUUGCCAAGUGACUCAAGCACGCGGGAGACUGAGACCAAGACAGGAGGAUUGCCUCAAGCUCAAGGCCUGAACUGCAGAGCAAGACCUUGUUUCAACACCCUCCCCUCCAAAAAAAGAAGUGUGCAUUUUGUGGGUUGUCUCCCCAGCCAGACUGUAAAUUCCAAGAGGAUGUACACCGUGGUCUGGCUCCUCUUUGUCUCUCUGGUGUGUGGUUAGUGCCACAAAAUGUAGUAGGUGCUGAAGAAACCCAGAUGUGGCCAUCUACAGAAGCCUCUGGAAAGAUGAGCCUGGCUCCAGCCUUCAGGAAGGAGAUGCAUCCCUGUCCCACAUCUGGCACACCUGGACCAAGCCUUCCAGAAGCACAGAGCUACUGACUGCUGGGUGAAUCACCCGCUCCCACAGCCAUUUCCAUGAGUGCUCCUGGUUCCUUUUCCAAAGAAAUCUGAUUUCUGCCGUGCUCAAUGCACUGCACCAUGUGAUUCCAAUUCUGGGCAGCCUCGAUUUGAAAGACGCUGACUUUUUCCUUUAUGAUAACUUCUUUUAAAAAACAAAUUCAAAAUCUGCUUUUUCACCCAUUGCAGAUUGCAACACUUUCCUGGAAAACAAACAGAAAAAGAAAAAGCCAAAGCA